GACGAACGCUGGCGGCGUGCUUAACACAUGCAAGUCGAACGAAGAGCGAUGGAAGCUUGCUUCUAUCAAUCUUAGUGGCGAACGGGUGAGUAACGCGUAAUCAACCUGCCCUUCAGAGGGGGACAACAGUUGGAAACGACUGCUAAUACCGCAUACGAUCUAAUCUCGGCAUCGAGGAUAGAUGAAAGGUGGCCUCUACAUGUAAGCUAUCACUGAAGGAGGGGAUUGCGUCUGAUUAGCUAGUUGGAGGGGUAACGGCCCACCAAGGCGAUGAUCAGUGGCCGGUCUGAGAGGAUGAACGGCCACAUUGGGACUGAGACACGGCCCAGACUCCUACGGGAGGCAGCAGUGGGGAAUCUUCCGCAAUGGACGAAAGUCUGACGGAGCAACGCCGCGUGAGUGAUGACGGCCUUCGGGUUGUAAAGCUCUGUUAAUCGGGACGAAAAGGCCUUUCUG
RNAcentral lists this ribosomal RNA (456 nucleotides) under Veillonella parvula. Its description in RNAcentral is "bacterial SSU rRNA". It matches the Rfam family "Bacterial small subunit ribosomal RNA", at positions 28 to 461 of the family's 1533-position model. Lineage: Bacteria; Bacillati; Bacillota; Negativicutes; Veillonellales; Veillonellaceae. The record is from RNAcentral.